UUCUGAAACAGCACCUCCCUUCCCGUCCCACUAUUCCCAAAGGCUGCUAUGAAGAGGACUGCAAGCCCACCCUCCCUCCAAGAGCCAACAGAAGGGCUGGGGAGACUGACACUUAAACAAGAAGGGUGACACAGCGUGCGCAGGAUUGUCACAGAGCCAGUGCAGAGAUGCAAGGAGCAACCAGCAGAUUCUGUCUGGGGGGUCAGGGGGGUCUUGCUUCAUCAAGGCAGGGACGCCAAUCUGAUUUGGAUGGAAAAGAUACAUCAGGGUAGAAGAAACAGUGUGAGAACAGGUGUGCAGAUAUGAAAGAGCCAGUAGUCCUGGGAAAUAGUGUGCAGGAAGCGAUCAGACAUGAGGUAGGAAGAGAAAUGAUGCCAGAUGGUGAUCGCGUGCUUCAGGAUUAUGCAAUUGCCAAAUAUUUACUGACUCGGCAAGGCCUAGUCCAAAAGUGGAUAUUAAAUAACUUCUCCACAAAAUAUACUGGCUUAUAUUCUGAAUUGACACAACUUUUUAAACCACUAACUGAAUCUCCAAUGUAAAUGACAUAACAAUAGUUCCAUGAAUAGAGCUUUAACUACCAUUAGAAGUUGAAUUUGAGUUCAAAAUUAUUAUUUUCAUAUAUUUUAUUCAGUGAGCUAAAUUUCUCACACCAGACAAAGUCCAAAGGUAAUCUACACUUCACAGAUUUGGAGAACAUUUCCAAGCAUUGUGACCAUGGAAUAGUGUCCUAGGGCAUCUUAAUUGCUAAUAAUGUUCAGCAUUAACUAGACAUACACAGACUGUUGAACACUGUACGAUCUUCUGGUAAGAAACACCACUUCUAGUGUCAACAAGCUCAUGUCUCAAAAGGGAACCUUGUUGCCCCACCACCCAAGAAAGUCACGGUUCAUUGCGGAUUGAAGAGGCAUAAGAGAAAAUAGGUGAAUUAGAAGAUAAAAUUAUGGAAAAAGAUGAAGCUGAGAAAAAGA
Long non-coding RNA from Leopardus geoffroyi (Geoffroy's cat), 968 nucleotides. RefSeq lists it as uncharacterized. The record is from RefSeq and is a predicted model, not a curated record. The transcript has 2 exons. NCBI's taxonomy places the organism in Eukaryota, Metazoa, Chordata, Mammalia, Carnivora, Felidae.